AAUCAACGCUGGCGGCGUGCCUCAGACAUGCAAGUCGAACGAUUAAGACUUCCUUCGGGAAGUGCAUAAAGUGGCGCACGGGUGAGUAACACGUAAGUAAUCUACCCUCGAGUGGGGAAUAACGUUCGGAAACGGACGCUAAUACCGCAUAACGCAGCGGCACCGCAAGGUGACAGUUGUUAAAGGAGCAAUCCGCUUGAGGAGGAGCUUGCGGCAGAUUAGCUAGUUGGUAGGGUAAUGGCUUACCAAGGCUACGAUCUGUAUCCGGUCUAAGAGGACGGUCGGACACACUGACACUGAAUAACGGGUCAGACUCCUACGGGAGGCAGCAGUCGGGAAUUUUGGGCAAUGGGCGAAAGCCUGACCCAGCAACGCCGCGUGAAGGAUGAAGUAUUCGGUAUGUAAACUUCGAAAGAAUAGGAAGAAUAAAUAGACGGUACUAUUUAUAAGACUCCGGCUAACUACGUG
RNAcentral lists this ribosomal RNA (468 nucleotides) under uncultured bacterium. RNAcentral's name for it is "bacterial SSU rRNA". It matches the Rfam family "Bacterial small subunit ribosomal RNA", at positions 32 to 507 of the family's 1533-position model. The record is from RNAcentral.